GACGAACGCUGGCGGCGUGCUUAACACAUGCAAGUCGAACGGAAAGGCCCUGCUUUUGUGGGGUGCUCGAGUGGCGAACGGGUGAGUAACACGUGAGUAACCUGCCCUUGACUUUGGGAUAACUUCAGGAAACUGGGGCUAAUACCGGAUAGGAGCUCCUGCUGCAUGGUGGGGGUUGGAAAGUUUCGGCGGUUGGGGAUGGACUCGCGGCUUAUCAGCUUGUUGGUGGGGUAGUGGCUUACCAAGGCUUUGACGGGUAGCCGGCCUGAGAGGGUGACCGGCCACAUUGGGACUGAGAUACGGCCCAGACUCCUACGGGAGGCAGCAGUGGGGAAUAUUGCACAAUGGGCGGAAGCCUGAUGCAGCAACGCCGCGUGCGGGAUGACGGCCUUCGGGUUGUAAACCGCUUUCGCCUGUGACGAAGCGUGAGUGACGGUAAUGGGUAAAGAAGCACCGGCUAACUACGUGCCAGCAGCCGCGGUGAUACGUAGGGUGCGAGCGUUGUCCGGAUUUAUUGGGCGUAAAGGGCUCGUAGGUGGUUGAUCGCGUCGGAAGUGUAAUCUUGGGGCUUAACCCUGAGCGUGCUUUCGAUACGGGUUGACUUGAGGAAGGUAGGGGAGAAUGGAAUUCCUGGUGGAGCGGUGGAAUGCGCAGAUAUCAGGAGGAACACCAGUGGCGAAGGCGGUUCUCUGGGCCUUUCCUGACGCUGAGGAGCGAAAGCGUGGGGAGCGAACAGGCUUAGAUACCCUGGUAGUCCACGCUGUAAACGGUGGGUACUAGGUGUGGGGUCCAUUCCACGGGUUCCGCGCCGUAGCUAACGCUUUAAGUACCCCGCCUGGGGAGUACGGCCCGCAAGGCUAAAACUCCAAGGAAUUGACGGGGCCCCGCACAAGCGGCGGAGCAUGCGGAUUAAUUCGAUGCAACGCGUAGAACCUUACCUGGGUUUGACAUGGAUCGGGAGUGCUCAGAGAUGGGUGUGCCUCUUUUGGGGUCGGUUCACAGGCGGUGCAUGGCUGUCGUCAGCUCGUGUCGUGAGAUGUUGGGUUAAGUCCCGCAACGAGCGCAACCCUUGUUCACUGUUGCCAGCACGUUAUGGUGGGGACUCAGUGGAGACCGCCGGGGUCAACUCGGAGGAAGGUGGGGAUGACGUCAAGUCAUCAUGCCCCUUAUGUCCAGGGCUUCACGCAUGCUACAAUGGCUGGUACAGAGAGUGGCGAGCCUGUGAGGGUGAGCGAAUCUCGGAAAGCCGGUCUCAGUUCGGAUUGGGGUCUGCAACUCGACCUCAUGAAGUUGGAGUCGCUAGUAAUCGCAGAUCAGCAACGCUGCGGUGAAUACGUUCCCGGG
Molecule: ribosomal RNA, 1344 nt
Filed under: uncultured bacterium
Lineage: Bacteria
Description: 16S ribosomal RNA
Rfam family: Bacterial small subunit ribosomal RNA
Source: RNAcentral